RNAcentral lists this ribosomal RNA (253 nucleotides) under uncultured bacterium. RNAcentral's name for it is "partial 16S ribosomal RNA". It matches the Rfam family "Bacterial small subunit ribosomal RNA", at positions 524 to 776 of the family's 1533-position model. The record is from RNAcentral.
UACGUAGGGUGCAAGCGUUGUCCGGAAUUAUUGGGCGUAAAGAGCUCGUAGGCGGUUUGUCGCGUCUGCUGUGAAAACCCGAGGCUCAACCUCGGGCCUGCAGUGGGUACGGGCAGACUAGAGUGCGGUAGGGGAGAUUGGAAUUCCUGGUGUAGCGGUGGAAUGCGCAGAUAUCAGGAGGAACACCGGUGGUGUAGGCGGCUAUCUGGACCGUAACUGACGCUGAGGCACGAAAGCGUGGGUAGCAAACAGG